This 72-nucleotide transfer RNA is filed under the name Cordylochernes scorpioides. Its description in RNAcentral is "tRNA-Asp". The record is from RNAcentral. Lineage: Eukaryota; Metazoa; Arthropoda; Arachnida; Pseudoscorpiones; Chernetidae.
CUCCCAGGCGGGGAAUCUAACCCCGGUCGCUCGCAUGACAGGCGGGAAUACUAACCACUAUUCUACCGAGAA